AGGAUUAAUACCAAGUCGACAGGUUCUGAAAUGACUACAGUUUAAAAAAGCUUUUAAAUAUGUUCUUUAAAAUAUUUUUCUUGCUACAGUUACUUGUGCUGAUAAAUUCACAUAUCGUUGGUGAUAAAACGCAUCUGACAGAAUUAAAGAAAUUAUGUGAGCACGCCUACAUUUGCUUUCACGACAACGUAAUUAUAUGCGGUAAAUCUGUGAAUGAGGCGAGAACAUUUCUAGAUCUAUGCGACCUUUAUGAAUAUUCCUGCGAAUACAAUAUGGUUUUCAGGCACGUCAAAGAAGAGGAAGGUGUUUGUCCGAACCCAAGAGAAUUAAAUCCAGGUGUCGGUUAACUUUUAUGUAGGUUAUAAGAAAAAAAUCAAGUAUUGAAUCCGAAAAGUUUAUUUCAAAUAAUUUAUAUUUCUCAUGUCAAUGUUAAA
This is a long non-coding RNA of Vanessa tameamea, 434 nucleotides long. RefSeq lists it as uncharacterized. The record is from RefSeq and is a predicted model, not a curated record. Lineage: Eukaryota; Metazoa; Arthropoda; Insecta; Lepidoptera; Nymphalidae. The transcript is spliced from 3 exons.